This 421-nucleotide ribosomal RNA is filed under the name uncultured Chitinophagaceae bacterium. RNAcentral describes it as "bacterial SSU rRNA". It matches the Rfam family "Bacterial small subunit ribosomal RNA", at positions 355 to 774 of the family's 1533-position model. Lineage: Bacteria; Pseudomonadati; Bacteroidota; Chitinophagia; Chitinophagales; Chitinophagaceae. The record is from RNAcentral.
UAAGGAAUAUUGGUCAAUGGACGCAAGUCUGAACCAGCCAUGCCGCGUGGAGGAUUAAGGCCCUUGGGUUGUAAACUCCUUUUAUCUGGGAAGAAAUGCAUUUUAUCUAAAGUGCUUGACGGUACCAGAGGAAUAAGCACCGGCUAACUCCGUGCCAGCAGCCGCGGUAAUACGGAGGGUGCAAGCGUUAUCCGGAUUUACUGGGUUUAAAGGGUGCGUAGGCGGAUAGGUAAGUCAGUGGUGAAAUCUCCGAGCUUAACUCGGAAACUGCCGUUGAUACUAUUUAUCUUGAAUAUUGUGGAGGUAAGCGGAAUAUGUCAUGUAGCGGUGAAAUGCUUAGAUAUGACAUGGAACACCAAUUGCGAAGGCAGCUUACUACACAGUUAUUGACGCUGAGGCACGAAAGCGUGGGGAUCAAACA